CCUACGGGUUGCAGCAGUGGGGAAUAUUGGACAAUGGGCGCAAGCCUGAUCCAGCCAUGCCGCGUGAGUGAUGAAGGCCUUAGGGUUGUAAAGCUCUUUUGUCCGGGACGAUAAUGACGGUACCGGAAGAAUAAGCCCCGGCUAACUUCGUGCCAGCAGCCGCGGUAAUACGGAGGGGGCUAGCGUUGCUCGGAAUCACUGGGCGUAAAGGGCGCGUAGGCGGCCAUUCAAGUCGGGGGUGAAAGCCUGUGGCUCAACCACAGAAUUGCCUUCGAUACUGUUUGGCUUGAGUAUGGUAGAGGUCGGUGGAACUGCGAGUGUAGAGGUGAAAUUCGUAGAUAUUCGCAAGAACACCAGUGGCGAAGGCGGCCGACUGGACCAUUACUGACGCUGAGGCGCGAAAGCGUGGGGAGCAAACAGGAUUAGAUACCCGUGUAGUC
This 440-nucleotide ribosomal RNA is filed under the name uncultured bacterium. RNAcentral's name for it is "bacterial SSU rRNA". It matches the Rfam family "Bacterial small subunit ribosomal RNA", at positions 338 to 795 of the family's 1533-position model. The record is from RNAcentral.